Molecule: long non-coding RNA, 1138 nt
Filed under: Mytilus galloprovincialis (Mediterranean mussel)
Lineage: Eukaryota; Metazoa; Mollusca; Bivalvia; Mytilida; Mytilidae
Source: RNAcentral
GUUUGUACUUUAAAAUACUACUAAAAUUAUAAGGUUUAUUUGUUCUAUAAGUAAAUAUAUUAUGGAUUUUGUCAAUUACUUAUCAAAUGUCAUUGAAUUAUUCUAGACAUCAGAUAAAACUGCCACACAUGGGAUUGUAUGUAUAUAUAUAAGACGGUGUAAUAUCCUGUCAAAAAAAUAUAUAUAUUUAUUUUUUUUUUGGCUAUACUUGCUAUUUUAUUAUUGAUUUUUGAAAAAAAAAAUAUCAGUAGACCAACAAGUUACGGCUUUCUCCAUAUAAAACAAACAAUUGCAAGACGAUAAUUACGUUUGCUUUGGGGGACUAUUUAACCUAGUAACAUAAUCAUCUUCCUUUAAAUUCAGGUCCUGAUCUAAUUUUCGCUGUUGUCACUAUUGACAUUCAAGAGUUAUGCCUCUUAUGUAGAUCCAUUGAUACAGAACGCCUACUAUAAGAUAUUAUUUUAAAGAAUAAUUAUCCCGCCGAAGGUUCAUUUUCUGUGUAUACUUUAACUGUCUACCUCCAACAUUAAAAAUGCUGCCAUGAUAUUACAAAAACUGCUGAUUGUGGUGUUAAACACCAGAGGUCAAUCAUAUGGAGAAUAAAGGCUAAGUCGUCAACAAGAUUGUGUGGUCAUACAAAAAUGCAAAGGUGUGGAAGUAGAAUUUAAGAAUAAAUAAAGAAAACUCUUUGUUUGAUGCCUUUGAAAAUAUCAUUGUCGUUGCUCUGACAUGAUCAGUAUUUCCAUUGUUCUCCAUUUGUAACCAAGUUUGGUUGUUUUUUCUAGAUAUCUGUCUCACAGUCUGUGUAAUUUUAAAUUUACUCUAAAAAUGUACAUUCUUUAUGAGCCUGAUAUUUCAGACAAUGCUUUAAGAAUUCAAACAUAGCUAGUUACAUUUAGAUAAAUUAUCUAAUAAAUAUCAUUAAUAGACAGAAUUUAUAAUAAAAAAACAUUGUACGGUGAUGGUCAUUUAAAAAAUUAUUGUAGAUCUUGAGUGACUGAAAUCUCAUAUUGUUUUUAUAAAGAGUAUUUUUACAAAAUCCAAACAAAUUCAGUGUCCAAUGGUCUUUGUACAAAUACCAUUUUUCUUUUUAUUAUUUAUACAAAAAAGUAUUUAAUUUGCUUUUGUGAUACUUAGG